Molecule: long non-coding RNA, 337 nt
Organism: Grus americana (Whooping crane)
Lineage: Eukaryota; Metazoa; Chordata; Aves; Gruiformes; Gruidae
Exons: 3
Source: RefSeq, a predicted model, not a curated record
GCAGCCCAGGGGGAGCAAGAAUCAGACUUUCCUUUGGACCAGAUGCUGGAUAAGUGCUCACCUGUCACAUAACAGGUAGCAUGUACUACACCGGAUAGCAUUAGCAGAGAAGAAUGAUGGCCUUCUGACACCUCUGGUAUUAAUAGAUAUGGUUCAAGUUCUCAGACUGCCAGGGUCUACGUUUAUCAGUGGCAAGUGUUUCCUGAGGAGCUGGGGGCCUCAAAACAGCAUUGGGACUUCUGUGGAUUUCAUGGUAUUGUUUGUAUUAUGCAUUUUAUAUCCAGCUUAUGUUUUGAGCUUAUUUUGUUCACUGAUGUAAGCAGGUGUAUAUAGCACU